UCUCAGAGCUCUGUUUUCAAAAUAAGAGCUUCAGUUUGGUUAUAUGGGCUUCAAUUGAGAGGUGAGGUGAUUUGAUCAAUGUGCAUGUGCAGGUAUUCGAUUUCAAUAAUACUCGAGUAACACACAAAUUUUCCAAAAUAAUAACAAGGUAUGGCAGCAAAGUACAAUUACUUAAGCAUUUUCACAGUGGAAAUCAUUACAUGUGAAAUAAAAUGCUCAGGAUCACAUGACGUAAGGUCAGUGUUGAAGGCCAGAAACACUUUACAGCCAAGUUCAAAGCCCAGGAGCUGAGUGAGAUUAAGAGCAGUUAAGAGUGGAGUUUGACCUCAGAGGAAGUGCCUGGAGACACUGCUGUUUGUCUCAGACAUGGCAGGAACCAGUUCAACAAUCAGACAAUUGUGUGCUUUCACAGUCUUACUGCAUUUCAGCCUAAUGCACUUCCAUUCUGCAGGAGCUGCUCUGCACAGCUCUGUAGACACACAGCAUGGCUUAGUCGGCACAGCUGUGACUCUGGGCUGCAGUUACACUCUCCCCAGUGCAAACGCAGAAAACAUUGACGUGUGGUGGAAAGUGUCCAAGAACGGCGUCUCUGAGACUUUAUUCGCCAGUCAGAAUGAUGCUGUGACCAAACGCACCAGAGGAUUUUCUGUAGACGAGGCCCGGCUCCUGAAAGGAGAUGCCUCUCUACAUCUGGAGAACACAACAAUCAGCGAUGAGGGAGUUUACUCAUGUGGUGUCAUCAUACAGCCUGACCAGUACGAUCGGACCGUCCACCUCAAACUGUCAGCUCGGCCUUUGGUUUCCCUGCCUGAAUUAGUCACAAUAACGACCGGAGAGGAGAAAACCUUACGGUGUGACAUCACAAAGUUCUACCCAGAGCAACUGAAAGUGACGUGGAAGACUGAAGCUGGCGCAGAGUCGGCCCAGUGGGACGUGUGCACUGGAGUUCCGGUUCCUAACAGCGACGGAACGUAUAGCGUCAGCAGCCGCAUCACUGUGAAAGCGGAGAGACUGAAGAGUGACGUCACUGUGUACGAGUGUCAGAUACAGCACAGGUCUUUCUCUGAGCUGUAUAGCGAGAGUGUAAGCGUGAGAGUUGAAGGUCCGGUUCAGCCCUUUAACACUUUGGCUCUAAUCGCUGGAACAGUUAUAUCAAGUGUUUUCAUUACAGUUUUGGCCAUCGGAGCUGCAGUGAUGGUUUACAGAUAUUUGCAUGCAGCCCCUCCUACAGUGUCUGAUAUAGUCAAACCUGACAUUAUUUAUGCCAAAACACCGACCAAACUGAGCUGCACUAUCAGAGGAGUUCAACCUAAACACCUCAAAAUCCAGUGGUACAAAAUGCCAUCCUGUAACAGCAGAGCAACCGGCGUCACUGAAACUGAUCCUUUAAUAGGAAUGGAAGACCUGCAGGAUCUAACACAGCUAGAGUCCGAGGAGAACGUCCACAUUUCUACUGUUACUCUUAAACUGACUGUAGAUGAUGACAACAGAGGAUACUGCUGUGUGGUUCACUGUGGCAAUAAGAAGAUCAUCAGAAACACAACAGUCAGAAUCCAAGUCCCACCAGACCUUCUGCAAAUAUCAAGCCAACCUCAGAUCCCCAAACUGGGUCAGCCUCUGGUGCUGUGCUGUCGAAUUGAGAAGUUUUACCCAGAAGAUAUCCGGCUGGAGUGGCACAGGCAGGGCACAGAGCUGCUACAGUCUGCCACCCAGUUUGGUCCAUUCUCUGACCACGAGAAGCUGUACAGCCUGUGGAGUAAGACUGAGCUAACGGUGGCUAGUGUGGAUAUUGGAACAGUUUGUACUUGCAGAGUCUACCACAACAGCUUCCCCGCACCGUUCUAUAAGGACGUUCCCUAUCACAUCAACACAGACGGUCAGCCCCCAAAUGUGGCUUUCAUCAAAUGUGACCCUCCGCAGCCUCAGUUAGGAACAGAAUGUACGCUGAACCUGUGCGUGAAGAAUUUCUGCCCAGAUCCUGUCACAAUAACCUGGUUUCAAGAUGGAGAAAAGAUCUCUGAUGGAGCCUUUGACUCCCCGGCUAGUCUUAACUUGAACGGUCUUUACUCAAUGUGGACCUUUCUCAAACUGACCCCCUCCAAACAGAACCUCAGCUCAGUGUUCAAAUGUGUGGUGGAGCACAGCGCUCAAAUGGAACCGGAGGAGAGACAGUUCACCCUGGCACAUUUAAUGAAAGUGUGA
Colossoma macropomum (tambaqui) is the source of this 2202-nucleotide non-coding RNA. The record is from the annotation of a RefSeq genome assembly. NCBI's taxonomy places the organism in Eukaryota, Metazoa, Chordata, Actinopteri, Characiformes, Serrasalmidae.